CUGGGCUUCGCUGGAGCCCCUGUCGCGUGUGCGGCGCGAUGACUCGCAACGACACACCCAGCGGCCCAUUCUCUUUUAUCUGUCUCAGCCCAUCCCCACCUUUUCCCUCGCAGCGGGCGCGUACGCUGUGGGUGUCUCAGCCGUUUUGCAAGAUAGCCAACGCCCGGCUACGCGAAGGACUUGUCUCCAGUGGCAAUCCACUACUACCCCUUCCCAUCUCCCAAACCGCAUUCUUUUCCUGCGGACCCACGGUGCCUCUCUUACGCUUAGAACGUGUCGGCUGGCGCCUCUGCUGGAGCGCGUGGCGCUUGACUACCUCACCGCCCUCCGCCUCCUCUGCAUCCUUCUCUAGAGUGCUUCGAUUCUGUUUUCUGUUUUCUUUAUCAUGCGCUUGGAUGCGAAGCCCAUCGCCAUCUGCAAUGGCAUUCAUCCAGCUCCCCUCUGCUUGAUGUGCGCUCGAGCGCGCGUGCCACGUCUUGUCGCGCACUUGCGUUUUGGAUCCUCUCUGUGUAGCUUUUAUGGGCUGCUUCCUUGACGAGGGCUGGCCUGAAUUUCUUCUGGGUUUCUUUUCUUUGGGCAGGGGAGGGGGCAUGAAACUCGCACGAUCAUGGUGCAGAGCAGAGUCUCGGCCGCUAUCGUUCUAUGGGGACGCGGUCUAGACGGGCGGUGUUGCUCGAUGCGAGCCUGUUGGCGGUGUGGAGCAGUGGCACAUGGGCGCGCUUCGCCACACGCAGGCGAGACGGCGAAGCUGCACCUUGUUUGGGGCACCGAGCAUUACGUCGCCGCGGGGAGUCGGAUGCGUCGAUACCGUGAGUCACGUCGUUUACGUUGGCUCUAAUGCGUCAUUCAUACACUUGUGAUGGCAGCGCAGCAGUCGAAGCACGAGAAGCAUCGGGUUCAGGGGACGCGACGGGAGAUGUGCCAGCCUCUGACAGCUUCUUCUUCCUCACUCCAGCUGGGCAAGUCAACGUCCACGGAUGGGCCAUGGCGUGUGCGCUUGCAUACCGCCACCAGCUUUUCGCUGCCGUGUGGCGGCCUUAGUGGGAGCGUCUGCGAUUUCAGACGACGGCCCGGGCCGUGGCGUGAUGCAAGUUGCCACAUUGCACUAGAAUGGACUCCCCUCCGUGUAAGAAACUGCGAGCCCGUCGGUUUUGACGCGCACCGUACGCAGGCAGGGGGAGGCGAUAGCGAUAACAUGUCAAUAAUGUUUCUUGACAGCUCCAUGUCGCAAGCAUCUUCAAUGGAGCACUGCCAACGCACCGUUCGAGAUGCUCCCUGUGACGCCGUUGUCGUCGCGGGACAUCGUCGGUAUUUCGCUUUCUUCGUUUACAGCCACCGAAGACGACAGCAGAUACGCUACAGAUAGAGCACCCGGCACUGCAGCCGUGGAGGCGUCGGGGCGCUUAGCUCAGUGCUACCGAAAACACAAGUCGAGAAGCCCGUGCAAGGGUGCACGUCUGUUGCACUGAUCAUCUCCUCGCGGGGUGGCCUCGUUGCCGCAUCUGUAUCGCAGCGACUGACAGCGGCGUACGUGACUCGGCCGCCCAUUCAAAAACGAACUGCGCCACAUCGAGCGCAGAUACUGUGAAGUCUCCUCACAGCCUUCACAAUAGGUUCAGACUCGACGCCCUCGCCGUCCACGAGCCAAGACCCAGGAGGAGCUCAUCGGACGUCGGCCGACUAUGGAGCUAUGGCAUCCGCGGAACUCUCGCGAUUGCGUGCGUCGACACUGAUGCGCUCCUUGGCACUCGAGCCGAUUCAAGUGAUAGACACAGUCUGCAACGUAAAAGGGAUUGCGGUGGACGAUUAUGCGCCAUGACUAACGUGCAUUACCAACAGCUGUCCCUGUUCUGCCACUCGUGCAGAGGUGGCCCGGAUGAGCGUAGUGGGGGUGCGCGUAGCGGACUCCUCCAGCGAGGACGAACCCGGAGCUGGUCUGAUGUCUUCGGAGACGGUGCGGCAAGCCAACGGGACAUCAACGUUACAAGAAACGAAUGGUGGGGAAGUCGUGUCGCUGCUUCUCAUCAACGAAGCCGGACUCAUUCACGUCGCCCGGUGUCGCCUUGGCGCGACGACCACUUUGCAAACCGGCACCGUCUUACGUCUCGCUGCCGUUCAGCCCUACGUGAUCAACGCAGAGCCGGCGGCACCACAGGGCGCUGUUUAGGCUACGUCUUUUUUCCUGUUUCGGCGUGUGUCUGUGGUGGUGGGUCAGCUGAUGCCGCUGUUGUGGCAACGAGUCAUGCACUUGUCGGCUGGCAUGUGCGCUGAACCUGCACUCUCUCUGAGGCGAUGUGCAUGUCCUACGCGGCAGCUAUCCGUCUUUUCGCGCAUAGCCCCCUGGAUCCUGCCGCCGUCGCCUCCUCUGCGUGCAGCGCGCUCGCCGUUGACGGAGGCAUUGCUGCAGCCACCUACGCCAGUGGCCGGCAACGCUGCCACGACCACGACAGGUGGCUCCCACACCGAGAGCGGUGCGGCUGAGGAUGUAACUAUGCGCGGCAGCGGCUUUGUGGAGCCGGGGCACCACUGCAACGGCCGAGCUCAGCCCGUCUUGUCGGCUUUGGUUUCCUGGUGUGGCACUCAGCGAAGCCAUCACGGUGACGGCUGCUUUCGUGAACGCGGCGGCGACGUGGAAACGCCCAUGACUCCGCCCCUUUCUCCCAUCUUGAGGCGUCGUUGUCCAAUCCGGGGACGCCAAAGAGCCUACUGUCAUCAUACACGCCAGUGACACAGGCAGGCCGGGGUGAACCGGACCAAACGCUGAUCGGCCGCGGUAGGACACGGGUGCUGUGGGUGCCUUGCCAGUUCAUGCCCUGCUCCUUUUGCGUAGACCCCAACACACAGGAGUACAUCUGGCCCAUAACGUGCCAUCAGUGGGCAGACGUGCAUGUCCUCUGCCCCGAACGUCGUUCCGCAAAGUGAAGACUUGUCCUGGUUUUGGCGAAGAAGGCAGGCGCAGGGCAUUUGGGGUUCAUAUGCUACUCGUUCCCCACUCACCACCCCACCCCACCCCACUCUCUGCCCCGCCCACGUCUCCCCAUCUCUGGUUUCUCGCUAUGUGUGUUGCACCGCAGUGCCUCCGUGCCUCUUUCUGCUCCUCUGUUUUUGCGUCCCCUCCUCGCGUUGGCUCGAGCCGAGUUUCCAACCAAGCAGACAACCCAAUACAACCUCAUAGUGACACGCACACACAGAUGGCGCUUGCGGUUGGCCGGCAGUCAGAGGGAGAAGGGUCCUUCUGCGAGCAGCACCGAGCGUGACCGUGUGAUCCUGUGUGUUUUUGUUCUCUUGUGUUCCCGUUUAAGCUCACAAGAAGAGGGAGGGCGACUCGUGCGCGCGACCCCUUAGCUUUCCUCCGAUGUGAAGAUGCGACGGAGUACGCGUACGCGUGCGAAAACGAUGCCCAACUAUCGAAGCUCACAUGUCUCUCCACAUGCUCCGCUCCUGCCCUGCCCUGCCCUCCUCCCCCAUACCGACCGCCCAACCGACUCACACUCACGUUGACUGAAG
This 3507-nucleotide unclassified non-coding RNA is filed under the name Leishmania donovani. RNAcentral's name for it is "gene:LdHU3.27.2410(CDS-product:hypothetical_prote in)". The record is from RNAcentral. Lineage: Eukaryota; Euglenozoa; Kinetoplastea; Trypanosomatida; Trypanosomatidae.